RNAcentral lists this non-coding RNA (24 nucleotides) under Cricetulus griseus (Chinese hamster). The record is from RNAcentral. Lineage: Eukaryota; Metazoa; Chordata; Mammalia; Rodentia; Cricetidae.
CUGGACCUGCCAAGAGCUUAAGAG